This 344-nucleotide ribosomal RNA is filed under the name uncultured soil bacterium. RNAcentral describes it as "bacterial SSU rRNA". It matches the Rfam family "Bacterial small subunit ribosomal RNA", at positions 26 to 363 of the family's 1533-position model. The record is from RNAcentral.
AGGAUGAACGCUAGCGGCAGGCCUAACACAUGCAAGUCGAGGGGGCAGCGAUCUGUGCUUGCACAGAGUCGGCGACCGGCGCACGGGUGAGCAACGCGUAUGGAACCUGCCCUUUACAGGGGAAUAGCCCAGGGAAACUUGGAUUAAUGCCCCGUGGUACCUUUUAUAGCAUUAUAUAAAGGUUAAAGCCUUCGGGCGGUAAGGGAUGGCCAUGCGUAGCAUUAGCUUGAUGGUGGGGCAACGGCCCACCAUGGCGACGAUGCUUAGGGGCCCUGGAGGAGGGGGUCCCCCACACUGGUACUGAGACACGGACCAGACUCCUACGGGAGCAGCAGUGAGGAAUA